CCUACGGGAGGCAGCAGUGAGGAAUAUUGGUCAAUGGACGAGAGUCUGAACCAGCCAAGUAGCGUGAAGGAUGACUGCCCUAUGGGUUGUAAACUUCUUUUAUAUGGGAAUAAAACGUUCCACGUGUGGGAUUUUGUAUGUACCAUAUGAAUAAGGAUCGGCUAACUCCGUGCCAGCAGCCGCGGUAAUACGGAGGAUCCGAGCGUUAUCCGGAUUUAUUGGGUUUAAAGGGAGCGUAGGUGGAUUGUUAAGUCAGUUGUGAAAGUUUGCGGCUCAACCGUAAAAUUGCAGUUGAAACUGGCAGUCUGGAGUACAGUAGAGGUGGGCGGAAUUCGUGGUGUAGCGGUGAAAUGCUUAGAUAUCACGAAGAACUCCGAUUGCGAAGGCAGCUCACUGGACUGCAACUGACACUGAGGCUCGAAAGUGUGGGUAUCAAACAGGAUUAGAUACCCGAGUAGUC
This 460-nucleotide ribosomal RNA is filed under the name uncultured bacterium. Its description in RNAcentral is "partial 16S ribosomal RNA". It matches the Rfam family "Bacterial small subunit ribosomal RNA", at positions 338 to 795 of the family's 1533-position model. The record is from RNAcentral.